This 544-nucleotide ribosomal RNA is filed under the name Aschersonia andropogonis. RNAcentral describes it as "SSU rRNA". It matches the Rfam family "Bacterial small subunit ribosomal RNA", at positions 275 to 832 of the family's 1533-position model. The record is from RNAcentral. Lineage: Eukaryota; Fungi; Ascomycota; Sordariomycetes; Hypocreales; Clavicipitaceae.
AAACUCUCGUAGUCGAAGCUGAAAGGUUGAUCGACCACAUUGGGUCUGAAAAAACCCCAAUGCAAGUUAGUACAGCAGUGAGGAAUCUUGGUCAAUGGCCUAACGGCUGAACUGGCAACUUGGAGAAGUGGCAAGUCUUAUUUUGAUUAUUUACAAUAUAUAAUCUAUAAGAUUGUAUUAAAAUUGAAUAAAGCUUUGUUUAUAUAUUGAUAAUGACAGUAUAUAUAUCGUGUCUUGACUAAUUACGUGCCAGCAGUCGCGGUAAUACGUAAGAGACUAGUGUUAUUCAUCUUGAUUAGGUUUAAAGGGUACCUAGACGGUCAAUAUAUCUUCUAAAAUGUUAGUACUUGACUAGAGUUUGAUAUAAGAGGGCAGUACUUGAGGAGGAGAGAUGAAAUUCUAUUAUACCAAAGGGACUCGGUAAAGGCGAAGGCAGCCCUCUAUGUAAAAACUGACGUUGAAGGACGAAGGCACAGAGCACAAACAGGAUUAGAUACCCAAGUAGUCUUUGCAGUAAAUGAUGAAUGCCAUAGGUUUAGAUUAA